AGAACCUAGCAGCUCAACACAAGAUGGAGUCGCAGAGGAGGACACAAAAUUAGCAACAGGAACUGAAAAGCUUUAGUGAGAGUGACAGAGGAAGAAGCCAGCCAGAGCUGCGACCCUGAGAUAUAAGUCUCUCAGUCAGGGGCUAUGACACCAACAGAGUAAAUUCACAGACUCCGCCCCCAGCACGGCUCCAAUCCAAGCUGAAGUGAAGCCGUUUCAGAACAUUUUGCUCUACAUAUUUGAGUUGUUUGCCAUGCUUGUGAUCUACAGAGUCACCAUGAGGACCAAAGCCAUCCUUCUUAUGUCAGUGUUUAUACUGAUACUCUUGAUUCCCGUAUCUUUUGCUACCGGCACUCAAAACUAUACUCUAGAGAACAAUACGACAUCUACUCAAACUUUAGGCUAUUCACACUCUCCCUCUGGAGCUACAAACAGCACAACAACAUCCUCCCCAACAUCCAAUUCAGUUACAACCGUUGUUCCAUCAGGUACAACAAAUACAGCUCUACCUAGCACAACUUCCUCAUCCCCCACAACCGGAAAGGCAGUGAAGAUUUGGCUUAUUGUCAUUCUGUUGGUCAUCAUGGUUUUGAUGGUGCUUGUGGCAUAUCUCCAUCACGUGUGCCAGCAGUCCGGCCAUAGCGGCUCUGUGCCCAGGUUCCUAUUAGAUGUGAGGGAGAGGCUGAGAACCUGGAUCAGGAACCUGGAGGACCACCAGGGUGUUCAGCUUUGGCCAGGGGACAAGAGACCAGCAGAGGAUGCCAUGGAGGAGGAUGCCAUGGAGGACACAGAAGGAGGACAGGCAGAUGAGGGAGAGGUGUGGAGGGGUGGAGAAGGAGCUAAUAAUGAACUAAGCAACGAGGAAAAAGGAGAACACAAGGAGGAAGACAGCGACACUUCGGAUGACUGCUCAAGUUUGGAGGGGGAUGAUCUGAGGGAGAGGGCACUAAACAGACAGAAUGAAGAGGAGGGGAACCAGAGCAAGGACAAGGAUGAGGAUGAAACGAGUACCUCAAGUGAUGAAGGUCAAAGUCAUUCAGAAGGAAUGAGUGGUGGAAAUAAAGAUGAAGAUUCUGAAGAGACUGCACUUGUAAUCUCCCCUCAGCAGGAUUUAUGUGAUGUGACUGUUUUAUAGUGAAACGAUGCAUGAGUGAAGGAGAAGAUUCUGACUGUUUUUAAUGUUACAGAGUUUAGAUAGUUACUUUAUCGACACCAAAUCAAUAAAUAAAUCAAUACAUUUGCCUUUUUCAUAGUUGUCUCUGUGCUCUACCACUGAAACUCCGAUGUAAAAAAAAACAAAACACUGUCAGUGUGUGAUGAUCUUCAAAUAAACCUUUAAAAAAAUCCUCCUCUGUCUGGAAUUAACAUGAAAUUCAGAUGGCACAAAGACAGCUUUUUUACUGAUGAGUACAUAAGUGAGGGGACUACACCUUACAAAGUUAUAUUCAAAAUACCUCUCUUCAAAAGCACUCCAGUAUAAUGAGCAGACACCGUCCAUGGGCUUUUUCUCCAAAGGCCCAUGGACAGGUGAUAAGAAGCAUCAACACCAACUAAUUUAAAGACCUAUUUGCCAGAUAUCAAAUAUUAAAAUAGAUUUCUAUUUCUCAUCAGCCCUACUGUUGCAGAUUUAUGUGAAAAUGUCUAUUUAUUGCCUUUUCUCACUUCCAGAUCUCUUAUAGGAAAAAGCUCCAGAUUCUGAGGUCGUCUUGAGUUUUUUGGUUACCUGGUUG
Molecule: long non-coding RNA, 1730 nt
Organism: Astatotilapia calliptera (eastern happy)
Lineage: Eukaryota; Metazoa; Chordata; Actinopteri; Cichliformes; Cichlidae
Source: Ensembl